This is a long non-coding RNA of Syngnathus typhle (broad-nosed pipefish), 453 nucleotides long. RefSeq lists it as uncharacterized. NCBI's taxonomy places the organism in Eukaryota, Metazoa, Chordata, Actinopteri, Syngnathiformes, Syngnathidae. The record is from RefSeq and is a predicted model, not a curated record. The transcript is spliced from 3 exons.
GAGCACGACUGGACCCACCCCGCUUUCUUCAAGGGGAACCACGCAGCCCAAAAACAGACAUGUCAUUCAACAGAGGGCCUUAUCUUUAUCUGCCUUCUACUGUUUUGAUCAAUGUUCGGAUGUUUUUCCGCAGCACGCGGUGAGGCUUUAACAAAACAUGAGCUGUUUGUUCUGGAGCGGCUUGCGCCACAACCGCCCACUUCACACGGACCUGCUGGGAAUCCCAACAUCCAGUUCUUGCAGGUGACUUUCCUGUCCAUGACGUUCAACAAUGGGUAGUUCUAUGAGGAAAGAAGCAGAAUGAAAUUCUUGUCUGACAAAUGAAGACAGACGUCUCCAUAGUCGCACACACAUCACAUCUCUCGGCAGAGUGAGCAGUCAUGAAGGCGGCCAACCUGUUGGCGUGAUGAAUAGACUCCGGACAGUUGAGAGCAGCUUCUGUCAGGGAAGCGG